RNAcentral lists this ribosomal RNA (459 nucleotides) under uncultured bacterium. Its description in RNAcentral is "partial 16S ribosomal RNA". It matches the Rfam family "Bacterial small subunit ribosomal RNA", at positions 338 to 795 of the family's 1533-position model. The record is from RNAcentral.
CCUACGGGCGGCAGCAGUGAGGAAUCUUGGUCAAUGGGCGCGAGCCUGAACCAGCCAAGUCGCGUGAGGGAAGACGGUCCUAUGGAUUGUAAACCUCUUUUGUCGGGGAGCAAAAGACGCCACGCGUGGCGUUCCGAGAGUACCCGAAGAAAAAGCAUCGGCUAACUCCGUGCCAGCAGCCGCGGUAAUACGGAGGAUGCGAGCGUUAUCCGGAUUGAUUGGGUUUAAGGGGUGCGCAGGCGGAAGAUCAAGUCAGCGGUAAAAUUGAGAGGCUCAACCUCUUCGAGCCGUUGAAACUGGUUAUCUUGAGUGAGUGAGAGGUAUGCGGAAUGCGUGGUGUAGCGGUGAAAUGCAUAGAGAUAACGCAGAACUCCAAUUGCGAAGGCAGCAUACCGGCGCUCAACUGACGCUCAUGCACGAAAGUGUGGGUAUCGAACAGGAUUAGAUACCCUGGUAGUC